UGGGUGAGUAACGCGUAUCCAACCUGGCUUCAAGCAGGGAACAGGCUUUCGAAAGAAAGAUUAAUACCCUAUGUGGUCCUCGGAAGACAUCAGAGGAGGACGAAAGAUUCAUCGCUUGAAGAUGGGGAUGCGUCUGAUUAGGCAGUUGGCGGGACAAGGGCCCACCAAACCGACGAUCAGUAGGGGUUCUGAGAGGAAGGUCCCCCACAUUGGAACUGAGACACGGUCCAAACUCCUACGGGAGGCAGCAGUGAGGAAUAUUGGUCAAUGGGCGGAAGCCUGAACCAGCCAAGUAGCGUGCAGGAUGACGGCCCUAUGGGU
RNAcentral lists this ribosomal RNA (321 nucleotides) under uncultured Prevotellaceae bacterium. RNAcentral's name for it is "bacterial SSU rRNA". It matches the Rfam family "Bacterial small subunit ribosomal RNA", at positions 103 to 423 of the family's 1533-position model. Lineage: Bacteria; Pseudomonadati; Bacteroidota; Bacteroidia; Bacteroidales; Prevotellaceae. The record is from RNAcentral.